This 408-nucleotide ribosomal RNA is filed under the name uncultured bacterium. RNAcentral's name for it is "partial 16S ribosomal RNA". It matches the Rfam family "Bacterial small subunit ribosomal RNA", at positions 28 to 526 of the family's 1533-position model. The record is from RNAcentral.
GACGAACGCUGGCGGCGUGCUUAACACAUGCAAGUCGAACGGAGUGGCGAACGGGUGAGUAACGCGUAAUCACCCUGCCCUUCAGAGGGGAACAACAGUUGGAAACGACUGCUAAUACCGCAUACUGAAGGAGGGGAGUGCGUCGGAUUAGCUAGUUGGAGGGGUAACGGCCCACCAAGGGGUUGACAAGUAGCCUGUUUGAGGAGGUGGACGGCAAAAUUGGGACUGAGAAACGGCCCAGAAGCCGACCGGGGGGAGGCGUGGGGAAUCUUUCGCAAUGGACGAAAGUCUGAAGGCGCAACGCCGCGUGAGUGAUGACGGCCUUCGGGUUGUAAAGCUCUGUUAAUCGGGACGCGGUACCGGAAUAGAAAGCCCCGGCUAACUACGUGCCAGCAGCCGCGGUAAUAC